Long non-coding RNA from Nasonia vitripennis (jewel wasp), 1374 nucleotides. RefSeq lists it as uncharacterized. The transcript has 3 exons. NCBI's taxonomy places the organism in Eukaryota, Metazoa, Arthropoda, Insecta, Hymenoptera, Pteromalidae. The record is from RefSeq and is a predicted model, not a curated record.
UUUUAUCGUAGAAUAUGGACAGAUGGCGCUUAUAAACCAGUUUAAAGAAAGAAAGAUUAAAGAAAAAAGAAAGAUUCUUCAAAAGCAUAUAAAAAAAGUAUAAUCUCGCCGGCUACGACUCGAUCGCUUGCCAAAUCAUCGUGGCGACGCAGCGACUUUGGUAGCUUUUGGCACUUGUUCUCUAGACAUUUUUGAACGUCUAGAAAAUAAGUUCUUCAAUUACUCUUUACAAACAUGAAGUUUGUGGGCAUUACUAUUUUCGUCCUCGGAGUUCUGCACUCAGGUAUAUUGAACAUCUAUCCAAUAACGCAUAUACUUUUGCUGACAUGAAUCCAUCAAUAUUUUCAGGAAGUGCUCAACCAACUGUAUCCCAUAUCAAGGCCGAUAAGCCGAUCAACGAUUUAGGAAGCACGGUGCGUCUUCAAUGCCAAGUAGUUGGGCUACAGGAUUACGCAAUCACGUGGUCGAAAAUCGACAAAACUAUCAUUAGCUAUGAACGGAACAUAUCCAUAGCGAGUAUUAAACAGGUUUACAAUCCACGAAACUCUGUCAGAUCCGAGAUUUUCAAGAAGAAGAUGAGGGCCUCUACCAAUGUCAAGUUGUAGUUUCUGCCGACGAGCGAGUCAGCGCGGAAAUUGAAGUUAAAGCCCGCAAACCACCAGUAUUCACCAAAAAUUCUACCACUUCGUUGGUUAUCCGCCAAGGGCAGCCCAUGAAACUCGAGUGUUACGCGGACGGUUUUCCCGAACCGCAAAUCACCUUUCGCAGAGAGAACAAUUACGAUUUACCUACUGGAGGAUCAGUCUAUCGCGGAAACGUACCGAGCGUCGAUGCUGUCAGCAAGCAACAUGGGGGAUGGUACUAUUGUGUCGCUGAUAACGGAGUCGGCCGAAGCGUUCGGCAUAUCAUCAACAAGUGGAUAUAAUCGAGUUCGCGAGCACCAUUACAGUUCCACGUCCAAGAUUUGGUCAAGCCUUACAAUUCGAUGCCGAUCUGACAUGCCGCGUGGAAGCCUAUCCGCUACCUGCUGUUUUUUGGUACAAAGACGGAGUGCAAAUCUCUUACGACAACGAGCACUACGUCUUCUCUAAUUUCGCUACCGAUGGUUCUGUCGUCGAUUCGACGCUUAAAAUCAAGAAGGUCGCAAAAGAGGAUUACGGCCACUACGUGUGCAAGGCUGCGAAUAAGGUGAACUCUGUUGAGGCUGGGAUCGAACUUUUCGAAACCAAAAAGCCGAUCUGCCCUCCUGCCUGCAACGUUCAGGAGAUUCAACAAAAUAACACCGUACAAGAUGACUCUGCAGCGAUCGUCAAGUCCCAUAAAUAAGGAAAAAAAUAAUUUAUAAGUUGUAAAAGUUUGUAUAAUUAUUAUUGA